Molecule: long non-coding RNA, 2392 nt
Organism: Dasypus novemcinctus (nine-banded armadillo)
Lineage: Eukaryota; Metazoa; Chordata; Mammalia; Cingulata; Dasypodidae
Source: Ensembl
AUGGUGAGACUGCUUUUCAAUACUCAUAUGGAAACUUCAUUAGACUUAUUCACCAAUAUGUGGGUUAUUAUGUUUGACAAAUUAGGUCCUCUCUCAAGUUCCACUUCCAAGGCAAUAGCAUCAGGCACCCCAAUUUUAUUGAAUGCAACAGUUGUUUCUAUGACCAUUGGAGUCUUUGAAGCGCAGCCGCAUUUUAGGACGAUACUUCUCCAAAUACAAAAGUUGCUUGCUGUUAAAAGCUCCACGCCGCUUUCUGGAAGGAAAAAAAAUUAAAUGUUAAAAAAAAAACAGAAAAUUUAUUUUCCAAACACUUUGGCUUGACUACUAGAAAGACAUUUUGAAGCCAUAGUUUCUAGAAUAAAGAAUGCCUAUUUCCAAAUUUAAAUUGGAAUGAGCAACAUAAGGAAGGCAAAAUAGGCAAUUAAAGAAGAUUUACGGAAGAAUGAUGGGAAGGCAUUUAUGGUGGAUUAAAGAGGUGGCAAAUUCUUUUACACCUCUCAUGGAAAGCUGAGGUUUAAUUUCCUUUCUGUUCAAUCUAAACUGGUCUUAGUGAUUUCCUUGAGCAGUAAAAUAUAGUGUCAGUGACACUGGGUAACUUCCAAGACUAGGUUAGAAGAAGCGUUUCUGAAGCUUCUUCCUUAAUAUCUCAGAAGACUUGCCUUCUUAAGACACUGUCUUUUGGAACCCAGAAACUAUGAGGCAUUCUUAAAUGGAGCAAAUUGACCAAAAUUAAAAAGUUUAAAAAAGGCUCCACUUAACAGUGCCAGUUGAGGUCCCAGCUUGAAGCAGACUAGUAAGAUACGGAAUCAAUAAAUGGAUCUGGAACCUGGCAAGAAGUCCACAUGGACAUCAAUAACCCCAAGGUGGCUGCUGGAAGACCCUCCCCAAGAUUCUGCCACUCAGAGAAGACUACCUCUGGAAGCCAGGAGAAGCCCUGGAUAUUCCCCAAGGACUUUAUCAUUGGGCACUCCUGGCAAAUUGAUGGGAGAAAUAAGCAAUCAAAAUGGUAAAGGACUGGAACUCCUCCCCUGCCAUUAGCAAAGGGGUGGGAUAGUUAACAGGUCAAAAAGGCAGGCACAGGGCAUAAGCUCUCGCUCUCGUGCUCUCUCUCACCUGCGGACCCCUGUGCCUGCCCUCUGUGCACUGCUGUCACCGUUUAUCCUCUACCAUGUGUCCACACAAGUAAACCUGGGGAUUUAUAACCUAUAAUGGGGAAUUGUAGUCUGUAAAUCAGCCCUCUUUAUCACUUUUCAGCCCCUUCCUCUCUACCUGGGACCCCUCAUCUGUUAUCUUCUCCCAUUUCUUAUCCUUUCCUGCCUGAAUAAAUUAUUGGCCUAACUCACCUAAUGUGCUCUUGAAAUUCAUUUCUGUAGCAUUAUCAAGAACCUAAUCAAAAUCCAGUAACGAGAUGAAAGCUAGGACCUACUGCUGACUAUCUUGGAUAUCUAGCCCAGGUGAGCCUUCAGAUAACUGCAGCCCCAGCCCUUAUCUGACAGCAACUGUAUAAGGGACUCAAGAGCUCCUUCCUGAAUUACUAUCACCUCAAACUGUAAGCAAAAUACAAUGACAAUUUUAAGCUGGUUAAUUUGUUAUGUUGUAAUAGUUAACUGGAACAGACAGCCCUGGUUUUGUCAGACUGCUCUAACAAUUUCUGUCACAUCAGGCAUUGUAUAACAAGAUUGUUCAGUUUGUAAGGAUAGGAGACUGAAGCCUGAAAAUUUACCACAAAUGAAUCAUAUAAUUGUAAGUCUCUCUAUGACACCAAGGUGAACUUAUGAUUUGGUUGCAUAGUGAAGAAUCCCCUUAUCCUGUAUCUCUUAGCUCUUAUAUAUAACAGGUAAACAUCUCUUCUUUUCUCUUGAUCAGAAUGACAUGACAUUAGACUGAAGAGGUCAGUUCUCUAUCUGUUUGAACUUUGCUCUCAGGCCCUCUGCCCAUUUCCUCUUCCUGGGAAGGGCUUGCCUCAAACAAGGAAGUGAUGUCCCUUGGACUUUUGUGGGAUAAAUCCAAUGUUGCACAUACAGAUUGAAAUAAAUGUAAUGUGGAUGACCCAGACCACAGUCUGGAAGACAGCAAAGACUUGUCUUUCAGCCCAUUGGCCAAGUGUUCUCUAACUUGUUAGUUAGAGAUGAGGAUCUAAAAUUUGAUAUCAAAUCUGUUGAAAUCUACUUGCCCCAGAGUAUUAUGUGUGUAUGCGGUAUGGAGUGGGGAUAAGAGGCAAGGGGGUACAUCUGAGAUAUUGGUAAAGGAUUGAACUUAAGCCUGGGCUGGAGUUGGGAGUAGGUCAGUUAGAAUCCUUGUAAUGGAAGCAGCCUCCUGAGGCUUUUCCUGAAUUGAGACCUUAGAGCAUGUCAGACUACUUCCUUUCCUGGAGUACAAUCGAUUGGUACAC